GGGUUGUGAGGUUAAGCGACUAAGCGUACACGGUGGAUGCCCUGGCAGUCAGAGGCGAUGAAGGACGUGCUAAUCUGCGAAAAGCGUCGGUAAGGUGAUAUGAACCGUUAUAGCCGGCGAUGUCCGAAUGGGGAAACCCAGUGUGAUUCGUCACACUAUCGUUAACUGAAUACAUAGGUUAACGAGGCGAACCGGGGGAACUGAAACAUCUAAGUACCCCGAGGAAAAGAAAUCAACCGA
This 240-nucleotide ribosomal RNA is filed under the name Klebsiella pneumoniae. RNAcentral's name for it is "partial 23S ribosomal RNA". It matches the Rfam family "Bacterial large subunit ribosomal RNA", at positions 1 to 232 of the family's 2925-position model. Lineage: Bacteria; Pseudomonadati; Pseudomonadota; Gammaproteobacteria; Enterobacterales; Enterobacteriaceae. The record is from RNAcentral. RNAcentral also lists the same sequence under 1 other name.